This 306-nucleotide transfer-messenger RNA is filed under the name Synechococcus sp. CBW1107. It matches the Rfam family "Cyanobacteria transfer-messenger RNA". Rfam says of the family: Bacterial tmRNA, also known as 10Sa RNA or SsrA, is named for its dual tRNA and mRNA-like properties. Its role is to liberate the mRNA from a stalled ribosome. The record is from RNAcentral. Lineage: Bacteria; Bacillati; Cyanobacteriota; Cyanophyceae; Synechococcales; Synechococcaceae.
CUGCCACAAUGACAAGGUCCGUCCUCGGGCGGACUAGGUGGCUCACACCGGUGCUUCGGACAGCGGUUCGAUUCCGCUCAGCUCCAUUCCACCCCCGCUGCGGCGGCGGUUGUCGGGGGGCUGCAAUGGUUUCGACGGGGUAUGAGGAGGGUGACUGAAGCCUGCUCGGUAAGAGCAAACCCGUAACAGCGAACAACAUCGUUCGUUUCUCCCGUCAGACCGCCCCUGUGGCCGCCUGACUCCUAUAGGGAGAUGGGGUAGGUCAGCCUUAUCACCCAAAUGACCCAUGGGGGGCUGGAAGGCCCC